Molecule: non-coding RNA, 98 nt
Organism: Acanthosepion pharaonis
Lineage: Eukaryota; Metazoa; Mollusca; Cephalopoda; Sepiida; Sepiidae
Source: the annotation of a GenBank genome assembly
AUUGAAGCACUAGUUCCUGUACAAUCACCAAAGUUAAGCAACAUUGAAUCUGAUCAGUAUCUAGGUGGGUGACCACUUAGGAAUACCAGGUGCUGUAA